RNAcentral lists this transfer RNA (72 nucleotides) under Orchesella cincta. It matches the Rfam family "tRNA". Rfam says of the family: Transfer RNA (tRNA) molecules are approximately 80 nucleotides in length. Their secondary structure includes four short double-helical elements and three loops (D, anti-codon, and T loops). Further hydrogen bonds mediate the characteristic L-shaped molecular structure. tRNAs have two regions of fundamental functional importance: the anti-codon, which is responsible for specific mRNA codon recognition, and the 3' end, to which the tRNAs corresponding amino acid is attached (by aminoacyl-tRNA synthetases). tRNAs cope with the degeneracy of the genetic code in two manners: having more than one tRNA (with a specific anti-codon) for a particular amino acid; and 'wobble' base-pairing, i.e. permitting non-standard base-pairing at the 3rd anti-codon position. The record is from Rfam by way of RNAcentral. Lineage: Eukaryota; Metazoa; Arthropoda; Collembola; Entomobryomorpha; Orchesellidae.
GGGGAUGUAGCUCAGAUGGUAGAGCGCUCGCUUAGCAUGUGAGAGUAGCGAGAUCGAUGCUCGCCAUCUCCA